CCAGCUUUUGUCGAGCUACUUUUCAAGGAGGCUUUGAUGAACUCCAAUCUUGCUCAAGCUUUUACCAGAGGUAAUUCUCUUUGCUCUUAUUUCCUCUCUCUUAAGAGCUAUGGCUUGGUCAAUCGACCUAUUUACUUUUGUUUUUGCAGCAAUUGUUGCCCCACGAUGCAACCUAAGAGGAGGGUGGAGGGGUUGAAUCAGAUUUUUAGAAGUUUUAAGCAAGUAUGUGCACUUUAAAAGUUAAGUAGAAAGUGUAUGUAUUGCCCAGCUAUGCAACCUAAGAGAGAGG
This 289-nucleotide long non-coding RNA is filed under the name Elaeis guineensis (African oil palm). Its description in RNAcentral is "long non-coding RNA (EGUI_LNC058690)". The record is from RNAcentral. Lineage: Eukaryota; Viridiplantae; Streptophyta; Magnoliopsida; Arecales; Arecaceae.